RNAcentral lists this unclassified non-coding RNA (433 nucleotides) under soil metagenome. RNAcentral's name for it is "partial contains 5.8S ribosomal RNA, internal transcribed spacer 2, and large subunit ribosomal RNA". The stretch from base 1 to 120 matches the Rfam family "5.8S ribosomal RNA", at positions 35 to 154 of the family's 154-position model. The record is from RNAcentral.
GAUGAAGAACGUAGCGAAAUGCGAUACGUAAUGUGAAUUGCAGAAUUCAGUGAAUCAUCGAAUCUUUGAACGCAUAUUGCGCUCUCUGGUAUUCCGGAGAGCAUGCUUGUUUGAGUAUCAGUAAACACCUCAACUUCCAUAUCUUUUUUUGAAAUGGGAGUUGGACUUGAGUGAUCCCAACGCUUUUCCUCACCGAAAAGUGGCGGGUUACUUGAAAUGCAGGUGCAGCUGGACUUUUCUCUGAGCUAUAAGCAUAUCUAUUUAGUCUGCCUAAAAAACAGAUUAUGACCUUUGCUGCAGCUAACAUAAAGGAGAUUAGUUCUUGUGCUGACUGAUGCAGGAUUCACAAAGACAGCUUCGGCCGACUUUGUAAACUCGAUCUCAAAUCAAGUAAGACUACCCGCUGAACUAAAGCAUAUCAAUAAGCGGAGGA